RNAcentral lists this long non-coding RNA (406 nucleotides) under Gallus gallus (chicken). RNAcentral's name for it is "long non-coding RNA NONGGAT005228". Lineage: Eukaryota; Metazoa; Chordata; Aves; Galliformes; Phasianidae. The record is from RNAcentral.
UCUUUCUUCCUGCCUGCUCAGCAAAGAGCCUGUCGCCACAGGGGCUGAGCCCCUCUCAGCAUGAGCUGGGUUAGGAGAGGGGGAGCAGCAGCUUUGGAGCAUGGAUGACUGACUUUUCCUUCCUGCUUCUGAUCGAGUGAGACGAGCUGGAGAGGAUUUGCCCGCACCCAGACCAGGAGCCCACCCAGCAGUAGGACUGGACAGAGAGUCUGCACAGAGGGAGAAGUGAGGCACGGGCCCUCCCCUAUGAGCCCUAGCAGCUGUGCUUCUGGCACACCCUGGCCAAUGCACCACCUUGCCAGCCAUGUCUGCCUCUGCAGCUCUCUGGUGAGACUACAAAGCAGUUAAAAUCCUUCUGUCCCCUGGACAAAGAAGCUGGCAGGAACAGAGAGCAGCUGUGUGCUGC